UACGGAGGGUGCAAGCGUUAAUCGGAAUUACUGGGCGUAAAGCGUGCGCAGGCGGUUUGUUAAGUCCGCUGUGAAAUCCCCGAGCUCAACUUGGGAAUUGCAGUGGAUACGGGCAGACUAGAGUGUGGCAGGGGAGACUGGAAUUCCUGGUGUAGCGGUGAAAUGCGCAGAUAUCAGGAGGAACACCGGUGGCGAAGGCGGGUCUCUGGGCCAAUACUGACGCUGAGGAGCGAAAGCGUGGGGAGCGAACAGG
Molecule: ribosomal RNA, 253 nt
Filed under: uncultured bacterium
Lineage: Bacteria
Description: partial 16S ribosomal RNA
Rfam family: Bacterial small subunit ribosomal RNA
Source: RNAcentral